AACAUAUAAUUAAAUUUUCAUCUAAAGCAAAAGUACUAAUUGUGAAGACUCAUGAAGGUGAUAUCCAAAAGGGUAUUUUUGUAUGUGAAAGGUGUUGCCCAGUUGCUGGGAGAGGUUUUAAUGGUCUCACCUAAAGGUUUUCUUCUACACAAGGCUUAUGGAAUAAAUUCUGUGCCUCCCAAAAGUGGUCGUAAAUAGAGAAGGUCGCUACAUAGAGGUCCACCAGGGGAGGUCGACCAGGUAAAUUCAAAACAAAUGGAAAUAUAUGUUUGAAAUCAUCUGCAUUGUGGAUGGUACAACAUGUGGACCACAUGUGAUGGUAUAGCAUAGUACACCAUAAGCAAGAGGAGCCUCUUUCUGCCUUGGCCUUUUUAGAAGGCCUCUCUAUUGAAAAAAAUAAGCAGUACUUGCCUGCCAAUUUUUAAGUUAAGAGAUUUAGCCAAUCAGAAGGCAGAGGGGAGUUUAGAAAGAUAAGUUAAAAGAUAAGUUUUACAAAUAAAGACAUUUACAAGUAACAGGAGAAGCCUGCAUGUUGGGCAGUUUGGAAAGAUUUUAAUACUACCCUCGAAGAAAAGAGACUUAAGGUGGCCGCUGGUAAGCGCCGUCUGGACGGGUGCUCUGGUACCAGUGAUGUUUGGGGGGUACGAGCCAGGAAACAUUGCUUCAUUACGCCAGAUCACACAAUCUGUUGCACUUUUAAUUUGGCUGCAUUUUGAAUGGUUACGUUUCACCAAAAAAUUUGGCUUUAAAUGUGUAGUAGAUACAAAAAAGGAAUAUUAACAAUACUUUGUAAAUAUCACACGGAAAAAUUUAAUGAUUGAUCAGAUAGGAUGAAAGUGGAUGCGCAACCAUAUUCCUGCAAUAAGUUCUGAGUUGUCUGUUCUUAAAAAAGCAAAGAAGACAUUGAAAAUUACGAAAAACUGGUAAACUUCUGUUUUUUUGUUUUUUUUUCUUUUUAAAAAUUUUGUCAAGUUUGAUGUGUAGAUGGAAGAUAAGUGAGUUUGAAAUUUUUUAUGCCGUUUUUAUUCAGAUAACAAUGGGCAACUUUUUUGCAAUAAAAAGAAAUUCAACUCAUUCUAAUGUUUAAGAGAAUAUAAAUUUGAAAAAUUGUUCAAAAAACA
This is a non-coding RNA of Parasteatoda tepidariorum (common house spider), 1121 nucleotides long. The record is from RefSeq and is a predicted model, not a curated record. NCBI's taxonomy places the organism in Eukaryota, Metazoa, Arthropoda, Arachnida, Araneae, Theridiidae.